RNAcentral lists this ribosomal RNA (134 nucleotides) under uncultured eukaryote. RNAcentral's name for it is "partial small subunit ribosomal RNA". It matches the Rfam family "Eukaryotic small subunit ribosomal RNA", at positions 1651 to 1784 of the family's 1831-position model. The record is from RNAcentral.
CCCUGCCAUUUGUACACACCGCCCGUCGCUACUACCGAUUGAAUGGCUUAGUGAGACCUCCGGAUUGGUGCUUGGUGGCCGCAAGGCUGCCGAAUGCUGAAAAGUUGUUCAAACUUGGUCAUUUAGAGGAAGUA